GCAAGGUUCACGAAGAGAGAAUCCAACAUGGCUGAACAGAGGAGCAACCAUGUUAAAGCUACUCAGAAAAUCAACUAAAACACAGGGUUGAACGCUCAGGAACUAGCUGCAGCAGUGCUCAAACCCACAAAGGACUCCAGAGGACAUCAUGAUGACAUAGGAAUGAUAUCACACCCCCAAAUGACAAAGGUGAAAUAUUACAACCC
RNAcentral lists this long non-coding RNA (206 nucleotides) under Fukomys damarensis (Damara mole-rat). RNAcentral's name for it is "lncRNA (ENSFDAG00000028566.1)". Lineage: Eukaryota; Metazoa; Chordata; Mammalia; Rodentia; Bathyergidae. The record is from RNAcentral.